Carica papaya (papaya) is the source of this 2192-nucleotide RNA transcript. It is a transcript of the gene named pre-mRNA-splicing factor, with no coding region annotated. Lineage: Eukaryota; Viridiplantae; Streptophyta; Magnoliopsida; Brassicales; Caricaceae. The record is from RefSeq and is a predicted model, not a curated record.
UCGCCUCUAUAAAAGGAGGAGACCUGAGAGUUUCAUUUUUUUCACCACAUAAUCUUUUGAAACCCUAAGUCCGGGAACAAGAGUGACUAAGUGGGCGGAGGUAUCCGUAAAUGCAACAAUUUCUUCUAAAUCAAAUCCUGUAAGCCACUUCGGAGGUGUUGCCCUUCAUGGACGCAAACCCGCAGUCUCCUUCCUCAGUAAAUGUUGACCCCAAAGCAACUUUUCGUAAGCCUUCAAAUGAUGCAGCUAGUAGAAAGUAUCGGCGCCGGUCACCUGCUAGCCGCUCAUCGUCAUCUGAUGGAAGUCCUAAGAAUCACCAAAGCCCUAGUCCACUUUACUCAAGAGAAAAUCCUCCAUAUGUCUCCGAGCAUCAACAGAGAAGAAAAGAUGAUGAGAGAGAAUUAAACAAAGAUUCUUCUCGUAGUCAGAUUGGCAAAACUAGUGAUUCAUAUAGACAUUCUGAUCACCACUCAUCCAGGAGUUCCCAGAGCCAUUCUAAGCGUGAUGACUACGGCAGACGUGACAAGCAUGUGGAUGAUGAGGAUAGAAAUUACCAGAAGUCAUCAUCUCGUUCGGCCCGAGAGUCAAUGAGCAGUCAUCAUUCUGAUUAUACAAGACAGGAAAGUGAAUAUGGUAGGUCAAAGGGUUAUAUGGACAGAUAUCAACGUGAUAAAUAUGAUGAUUCAGGAAAUAGAAGCAAGGAUAAAGAGAAAGAGACAUCUUCCUUUGAGCAUCAGAAGCAUAAAGAUAAAGAUCAUUCAUCUGACAGAGCUGGAUCUGGUCGAAGACAUGCUAACACAAAAUCUGAAGAGACAGAGAGGGAGUGGCAUGCACGGGAAAGAGAUAGUCGUGACGAGAGAAGAGAUUAUCAUAGAAGUUCAGGUGAUCGGAGAAGUGAUAGAACAUACUCCCGUGAUGAACCUAGAGGACAUCGGCACGACUCAACUUCUAGAAGGGAUGAUUCUGGACAUCAUGCAAAAGAAGGUUAUAAGAGUGACCCAAAGGACGAAAAGAGGAAAUAUGAUGACUGGGAAACCAAGAGGGACAAGGACCGGUACAGUAAAGUGCCAGGGGAGAGAUUUGAAGAUAAAACUGUUUUUGCUAGUGAAAGCCAAGAAUCUCCAGCCAAGAAACCAAAGUCAUCAAGUUCAGACAAGUUCUUUGAUUCUGCAACUGAUGGUUCUAAGUUUUCUAUGACCGUAGUUGAGGACAAACAGUUUUCAACUUCCAAAGAAUCAACAUCAGCCCAGGAGAUUGAUGGUAAAUCUUUGGUAGGUCAGUCUCAAGCAAAUUAUUCUGGUUUUGCUAAUGAUCUAGAUGCUGCAAAAGUUGCUGCAAUGAGAGCUGCUGAGUUAGUUAAUAAGAAUCUUGUUGGCGGGGGUUACAUGACUACUGAUCAAAAGAAGAAGCUCCUAUGGGGAAAUAAGAAGGCAACGACUACAGAAGAGCAGUCUGCUCAUCGCUGGGAUAAUGCACUUUUUAGUGAUCGCGAACGACAAGAAAAGUUCAACAAACUCAUGAGUCUGAGGUUGCCUUGGUACCUAUGGCCACUUGUAGGGUGUGAAGGGCGAUGCAAGUGUGGAGCAAAAGUCCGACAAGCAAGAUCCGAGUGGCCUGCUCCGGGCGGAGAAGCAGAAGGAACUCCAACUGGAUUUAGAGAAGCAAUACACUGCUGGACUUCGUCGAAGAGAUGGACGCACUGUCGGAUUAGGUCUUUAAUCAUCACCUUGCAAUCCUUUGCUAGUAUCGACCCAGUGUUAUGUGACUUUUUGUUGUACUGUUCAAGAUUUUUAAUUCUUGUGAAUUUACAAUUGAGGCAUGCCAUGACAAAAAUAUGGUUCUGGUUUUGACAUUUGGAGUUGCUGAUAAGAAAGGUUAUUGGGAGGCGUCUCAUCUUUCCUUUCCACGUGACUAUCUUGCAUUGUUGGUAGGAAAUGUAUUAAUCUGCACUCUGCAAUUAGUUCUCCCUGGCCAAUGGACGGCCGCAUAUGUACAAAAAAAAAGGAGUGUUUCCAACCUCGGUAAAAAAUGGAUUUUAGCGGGGGAUAUGACAAGAACCGUUGGUCUCGCGGUGGCUGGAAAAAAAAAAAAGCAGGGGCAUAGCAUAUGCGUUAAAAGAUUAAGGUGAAAAACAUCACUUGAAAAUUUCAAAGAUGUGUCGAGCUGAGAUAUACAUCGCAUAUAGGGGUUGG